UAUAUAGUUCAUCAGGAAAAAGAACGAAAACGGGAAACUUACAACAAGGAAUUAAAAUGUUUGCGCUCCGACUAACGAAACUGAUGUUACUGAAGCGCAGAAUGGCCAAAGGAAGCUGUCUCAAGAAUCAUCAUAAAUAUGGCGCAGAUAGACAAGAUGGAAUUAAUGAGAAUAAGACUCGUCGACAAAAAUCGAAGGAAUGACGAUCACAUAAAAAAUCUAUUAUUGCUACAAAUAUGCGAACAAUCACCGAUGUGCAUACCAAAAACCAAUUUCUGAUCUGCGUAACAGAGAACACAGUGAACCACGUCGAUUGAAGCAGAAUGACUUAAUCGGCCAAGUGUUAAGUAUUUUACUUUUCCCAACCUGUCGAUCAAUAGGCAACGCGUGCAACAAAUUGCAGGAAUUGUGCGUUUAGUUAAGAAAGUGCCGAAUGAACACAAUGAGCUAAAUGCAGUGUCCAAUAGUCAGCAAAUGCUGCUCUGUAAACCAGUUUGCCAGGAAUCAGCAGAACAUAUUCAUUUUGAGCAAGAUCAUCAACAAAGAUCUCCCAAUGAUGUGUGUGAAGAAAUCCGUGAAUGUAUUGUCGAAAAGCUCGAUUAGUUAGAUCUACAGUAUUUUCAGGCAUACUCAUACAUAAUAGGUGUUUCGAAUGAGAAAUAAAUCCUGAGUAAAUGUCAUUAAUGUCAUUAAGACCUCAGAAGCUUUUAUGUUAUAUAUAAUCAAGGCAUUUUAAGAUAUAGCUUGGGACAAAAUAUGGCGGAUUUCUUUUGUUUUCUCCAGAGACUAAUCCCAUGAUGCAUUUCAAAUCAAAUUCUUGGGUUGCAGUUACUUUAUCACAAUUGUUAUUUUACUCGCAUUAAUACAUGACAUUCAUGUCCUUCUAGAGCAUAAAAUACUGCAUAGUUUGACAAAGAUUUUAGGAUUGUAGAGCGCUUGGUUAUACGCAAAAAUAUGGUAAAAAAUGUAUGGCGGAAAUCCAGACAGUGUUCAACCUGACCACCGUCUGGAUUCAACCUUUUACAAAACAACCGAAAUAUUGUCUUUUUUGGAUACAUUUCGUUAUAACAUUUUUGCUGACUCAUUACAAUGUGUAUAUAUGAGGCAAAAUAUUCUAUGCACAUCGAAUUGUAAUUGUUUUUUUAAAGCUCCGUGACAGCUUUGCGUGACACAAUUCAGUCUUUAAUAUAUCGAGAACCAAAAAGUUCUAUACACUCAUUUUUGUUGUUAUAUCUUUUUUAUACCGAUAGUUAUAACAUAUAUAGUGUAAAUCAUCAUAGGAUGCAUAUUAGAGAAUAUAUAUUUUUGUGACGUAAAAGCUUCAGAAGUCUAACGUCAACUUCUGAUUCAUUAAUACUGUUACUUGUUACUAC
Molecule: long non-coding RNA, 1373 nt
Organism: Exaiptasia diaphana
Lineage: Eukaryota; Metazoa; Cnidaria; Anthozoa; Actiniaria; Aiptasiidae
Exons: 4
Source: RefSeq, a predicted model, not a curated record